UAGUCCACGCCGUAAACGAUGGAUACUAGUUGUUGGGAUUUAUCUCAGUGACUAAGCGAAAGUGAUAAGUAUCCCACCUGGGGAGUACGUUCGCAAGAAUGAAACUCAAAGGAAUUGACGGGGGCCCGCACAAGCGGUGGAGCAUGUGGUUUAAUUCGAUGAUACGCGAGGAACCUUACCAGGGCUUAAAUGUAAGUUGCAUGAUCUAGAGAUAGGUCUUUCUUCGGACUACUUACAAGGUGCUGCAUGGUUGUCGUCAGCUCGUGCCGUGAGGUGUCAGGUUAAGUCCUAUAACGAGCGCAACCCCUGUUGUUAGUUGCCAGCACAUUAUGGUGGGAACUCUAACAAGACUGCCGGUGCAAACCGUGAGGGAAGGUGGGGAUGACGUCAAAUCAUCACGGGCCCUUACGUCCUGGGGCUACACACGUGCUACAAUGGGUAGGUACAGAGAGCAGCCACUGCGUGAGC
Molecule: ribosomal RNA, 468 nt
Filed under: uncultured bacterium
Lineage: Bacteria
Description: bacterial SSU rRNA
Rfam family: Bacterial small subunit ribosomal RNA
Source: RNAcentral